RNAcentral lists this transfer RNA (67 nucleotides) under Neurothemis fulvia. Its description in RNAcentral is "tRNA-Pro". Lineage: Eukaryota; Metazoa; Arthropoda; Insecta; Odonata; Libellulidae. The record is from RNAcentral.
CAGAGAGUAGUUUAAUUAAAAUUUUAAUUUUGGGGAUUAAAGAUAAGUAUGUGAUAUUUUUCUCUGA